UUCCGGUUGAUCCUGCCGGACCCGACCGCUAUCGGGGUAGGGCUAAGCCAUGGGAGUCGCACGCUCCCGGGUAAGGGGGCGUGGCGGACGGCUGAGUAACACGUGGCUAACCUACCCUCGGGAGGGGGAUAACCCCGGGAAACUGGGGAUAAUCCCCCAUAGGGAAGGAGUCCUGGAACGGUUCCUCCCCGAAAGGGUCAUGGGCUAAUCCCGUCCAUGACCGCCCGAGGAUGGGGCUGCGGCCCAUCAGGUUGUUGGCGGGGUAACGGCCCGCCAAGCCUAUAACGGGUAGGGGCCCUGGGAGGGGGAGCCCCCAGUUGGGCACUGAGACAAGGGCCCAGGCCCUACGGGGCGCACCAGGCGCGGAACGUCCCCAAUGCGGGAAACCGUGAGGGCGCUACCCCGAGUGCCCCCGAAAGGGGGCUUUUCCCCGCUCUAAAAAGGCGGGGGAAUAAGCGGGGGGCAAGUUCUGGUGUCAGCCGCCGCGGUAAUACCAGCUCCGCGAGUGGUCGGGACUCUUAUUGGGCCUAAAGCGCCCGUAGCCGGCCCGGUAAGUCAUCCCUUAAAGACCCCGGCUCAACC
RNAcentral lists this ribosomal RNA (582 nucleotides) under uncultured archaeon. Its description in RNAcentral is "bacterial SSU rRNA". It matches the Rfam family "Archaeal small subunit ribosomal RNA", at positions 1 to 564 of the family's 1478-position model. The record is from RNAcentral.